GUCCACGCCCUAAACGAUGCGAACUAGGUGUUGGGGAAGGAGACUUCUUUAGUACCGUAGCUAACGCGUGAAGUUCGCCGCCUGGGGAGUACGGUCGCAAGAUUAAAACUCAAAGGAAUUGACGGGGACCCGCACAAGCGGUGGAUGAUGUGGAUUAAUUCGAUGCAACGCGAAAAACCUUACCUACCCUUGACAUGCCGCGAACCCUGGAGAGAUCUGGGGGUGCCCGAAAUGGAAUGCGGACACAGGUGCUGCAUGGCUGUCGU
This 266-nucleotide ribosomal RNA is filed under the name uncultured bacterium. Its description in RNAcentral is "partial 16S ribosomal RNA". It matches the Rfam family "Bacterial small subunit ribosomal RNA", at positions 793 to 1055 of the family's 1533-position model. The record is from RNAcentral.